CAUCAAAUCGACAUUUCGAUCCUCAAGGGGUCUUUCUCUUGAGAAAACUUGGCAACCUGAGAAAGACCCCUUGAGGGUCGAAACGUUCAUUUG
Non-coding RNA from Pelobates cultripes (western spadefoot toad), 93 nucleotides. The record is from the annotation of a GenBank genome assembly. NCBI's taxonomy places the organism in Eukaryota, Metazoa, Chordata, Amphibia, Anura, Pelobatidae.